This 1335-nucleotide ribosomal RNA is filed under the name uncultured bacterium. RNAcentral's name for it is "bacterial SSU rRNA". It matches the Rfam family "Bacterial small subunit ribosomal RNA", at positions 28 to 1383 of the family's 1533-position model. The record is from RNAcentral.
GACGAACGCUGGCGGCACGCUUAACACAUGCAAGUCGAACGAGAGAAGAGAAGCUUGCUUUUCUGAUCUAGUGGCGGACGGGUGAGUAACACGUGAGCAAUCUGCCUUUCAGAGGGGGAUACCGAUUGGAAACGAUCGUUAAUACCGCAUAACAUAAUUGAACCGCAUGAUUUGAUUAUCAAAGAUUUAUCGCUGAAAGAUGAGCUCGCGUCUGAUUAGCUAGUUGGUAAGGUAACGGCUUACCAAGGCGACGAUCAGUAGCCGGACUGAGAGGUUGAUCGGCCACAUUGGGACUGAGACACGGCCCAGACUCCUACGGGAGGCAGCAGUGGGGAAUAUUGCACAAUGGAGGAAACUCUGAUGCAGCGAUGCCGCGUGAGGGAAGAAGGUUUUAGGAUUGUAAACCUCUGUUUUCAGGGACGAAAAAAGACGGUACCUGAGGAGGAGGCUCCGGCUAACUACGUGCCAGCAGCCGCGGUAAUACGUAGGGAGCGAGCGUUGUCCGGAAUUACUGGGUGUAAAGGGAGCGUAGGCGGGAUCGCAAGUCAGAUGUGAAAACUAUGGGCUUAACCCAUAAACUGCAUUUGAAACUGUGGUUCUUGAGUGAAGUAGAGGUAAGCGGAAUUCCUAGUGUAGCGGUGAAAUGCGUAGAUAUUAGGAGGAACAUCAGUGGCGAAGGCGGCUUACUGGGCUUUAACUGACGCUGAGGCUCGAAAGCGUGGGGAGCAAACAGGAUUAGAUACCCUGGUAGUCCACGCCGUAAACGAUGAUUACUAGGUGUGGGGGGACUGACCCCUUCCGUGCCGCAGCAAACGCAAUAAGUAAUCCACCUGGGGAGUACGACCGCAAGGUUGAAACUCAAAGGAAUUGACGGGGGCCCGCACAAGCAGUGGAGUAUGUGGAUUAAUUCGAAGCAACGCGAAGAACCUUACCAGGUCUUGACAUCGUAUGCAUAGCUCAGAGAUGAGUGAAAUCUCUUCGGAGACAUAUAGACAGGUGGUGCAUGGUUGUCGUCAGCUCGUGUCGUGAGAUGUUGGGUUAAGUCCCGCAACGAGCGCAACCCUUACUGUUAGUUGCUACGCAAGAGCACUCUAGCAGGACUGCCGUUGACAAAACGGAGGAAGGUGGGGAUGACGUCAAAUCAUCAUGCCCCUUAUGACCUGGGCCUCACACGUACUACAAUGGCUGUCAACAGAGGGAUGCAAAGCCGCGAGGUGGAGCGAACCCCUAAAAGCAGUCUUAGUUCGGAUUGUAGGCUGCAACCCGCCUACAUGAAGUCGGAAUUGCUAGUAAUCGCAGAUCAGCAUGCUGCGGUGAAUAAAAGGCCGGGCCUUG